AUGACUUCACCAAAAGGGAACCAACUAGCUGCAGUUGCAGAGCAGAAUGAUCCUUUAGCAGAAACCAAUAAGGCUAUGCAAAUGAAUUCUUCCCAGCGUAAGCGUAAGCGUUACCGCGACUGGGAUAGGUAUUUGCAAAUGACUGCAUAUCAGAGGGAAGCCUAUCUGCAAAGGAAUCGUGAGUAUAAAAGAAUGCGGCGUGAGUGCAGUGCAAGUCGUAACAACACACAACCAGCACCACAACAGAAAAUUUUGAGAGCUAAUAAUAAGAACCAAUCCAUGACAGGAGAGGAAGUCGUGGGCAGUUCCAACUAUGAGAGGCACGAUUCAGUAUUUACUCAACUAGGGUCUUCAUCAAAAGGCAAACAAGGAUCAGAUAGUGGUGGUUCUGAGACAAGCCGUCCAAAAGCUGGAACUCGGUUCACUAUCAGUCCAUAG
This 438-nucleotide ribosomal RNA is filed under the name Triticum aestivum (bread wheat). RNAcentral describes it as "partial small subunit ribosomal RNA". Lineage: Eukaryota; Viridiplantae; Streptophyta; Magnoliopsida; Poales; Poaceae. The record is from RNAcentral.